AAUAGAUACCCGGGUAGUCCACGCCGUAAACGAUGUGUGCUAUUAGUUCGAGGUAUCGACCCCUUGGGCUGAACAGCUAACGCGUUAAGCACACCGCCUGGGGAGUACGAGCGCAAGCUUAAAACUCAAAGGAAUUGACGGGGACCCGCACAAGCAGAGGAUGAUGUGGUUUAAUAUGAAGCUACGCGUAGAACCUUACCGAGGUUUGACAUCCCAGGAAGUCAGUCGAAAGACAGAUGUGCCUUUUGGAACCUGGUGACAGGUGCUGCAUGGCCGUCGUCAGCUCGUGUCGUGAGAUGUUGGGUUAAGUCCCGCAACGAGCGCAACCCUUAUUGUAUGUUGUAUUUUUCUAUACGAAACUGCCCGGGUCAACCGGGAGGAAGGUGGGGACGGACGUCAGGUCGGCAUGGCCCUUACACCUCGGGCCACUCACGUCAUACAAUGGCCGGUACAAUGCGUCUUGCCAAUCCGCGAGGGGGAGCUAAUCGCAUCAAAACCGGUCCCAGUUCGGAUAGCAGGCUGCAACUCGCCUGCUUGAAGUCGGU
RNAcentral lists this ribosomal RNA (545 nucleotides) under uncultured bacterium. Its description in RNAcentral is "bacterial SSU rRNA". It matches the Rfam family "Bacterial small subunit ribosomal RNA", at positions 777 to 1330 of the family's 1533-position model. The record is from RNAcentral.